This 269-nucleotide ribosomal RNA is filed under the name uncultured bacterium. RNAcentral's name for it is "partial 16S ribosomal RNA". It matches the Rfam family "Bacterial small subunit ribosomal RNA", at positions 524 to 792 of the family's 1533-position model. The record is from RNAcentral.
UACGUAGGGGGCAAGCGUUGUCCGGAAUCAUUGGGCGUAAAGAGCGUGUAGGCGGCCCGAUAAGUCCGCUGUGAAAGUCCAGGGCUCAACCCUGGAAUGCCGGUGGAUACUGUCGGGCUCGAAUCCGGAAGAGGUGAGUGGAAUUCCUGGUGUAGCGGUGAAAUGCGCAGAUAUCAGGAGGAACACCAAUGGCGAAGGCAGCUCACUGGGACGGUAUUGACGCUGAGACGCGAAAGCGUGGGGAGCAAACAGGAUUAGAUACCCCGUGG